CCUACGGGUGGCAGCAGUGGGGAAUAUUGCGCAAUGGGCGAAAGCCUGACGCAGCGACGCCGCGUGAGGGAUGAAGGUCUUCGGAUCGUAAACCUCUGUCAGCAGGGAAGAACGGUCACUGUGCUAAUCAGCAGUGAAUUGACGGUACCUGCAAAGGAAGCACCGGCUAACUCCGUGCCAGCAGCCGCGGUAAUACGGCGGGUGCGAGCGUUAAUCGGAAUUACUGGGCGUAAAGCGCUCGUAGGCGGUAUGUCAAGUCAAGGGUGAAAUCCCCGCGCUCAACGUGGGAACUGCCUUUGAAACUGGCAAACGGGAGUGUGUGAGAGGAUAGUGGAAUUCCAGGUGUAGGAGUGAAAUCCGUAGAUAUCACACAGAACACCGAUUGCGAAGGCAUCUCACGAAUCCGCGAUUGACGCUGAUGCACGAAAGCGUGGGUAUCAAACAGGAUUAGAUACCCCUGUAGUC
This 465-nucleotide ribosomal RNA is filed under the name uncultured bacterium. Its description in RNAcentral is "partial 16S ribosomal RNA". It matches the Rfam family "Bacterial small subunit ribosomal RNA", at positions 338 to 795 of the family's 1533-position model. The record is from RNAcentral.